CGAGAGCGUAUAUUAAAGUUGUUGCGGUUAAAAAAGCUCGUAGUCGAAGUUCUGCCAAGGUUGUUUGGUCCACCCCCUGGGUGUGCAUCUUGAUUAGCCUGGGCAUCUUUGUGAGGAACGCCACUGCACUUGAUUGUGUGGUGCGGUAUUCACAACUUUUACCUUGAGGAAAUUAGAGUGUUUCAAGCAGGCGUGUGCCUUGAAUACAUUAGCAUGGGAUAAUGAUGUAGGACAUUGAUUCUACCAGUUGGACUUUGGAGUCGAUGUAAUGAUAGAGAGGAAUAGUUGGGGGUUCUCGUAAUCACCACUUCAGAGGUGAAAUUCUUAAAUCGUGGAGCGACGAACCUUGGCGAAAGCCUUUAGCCAAGGAUGUUUUCAUUGAUCAAGAACGAAAGUUAGGGGAUCGAAGACGAU
Molecule: ribosomal RNA, 414 nt
Filed under: uncultured eukaryote
Lineage: Eukaryota
Description: SSU rRNA
Rfam family: Eukaryotic small subunit ribosomal RNA
Source: RNAcentral